This 616-nucleotide ribosomal RNA is filed under the name uncultured Tulasnella. Its description in RNAcentral is "eukaryotic LSU rRNA". The stretch from base 496 to 616 matches the Rfam family "Eukaryotic large subunit ribosomal RNA", at positions 1 to 121 of the family's 3401-position model. The record is from RNAcentral. Lineage: Eukaryota; Fungi; Basidiomycota; Agaricomycetes; Cantharellales; Tulasnellaceae.
GAGGGUGAAAGCCCAUGACCCAUUGCAAUGCCGUGUUCUGCACGUUAAACAUAGUCGUGUUGGCUUCGGACACACGUUAAAGACGCGAAAAAGCCCUGUUUACGAAUCUAAUGUGAAAGAACUUUACAACCAAUGACGUUGGAUCCCUUGGCAUGCCUGAUCGAUGAAGACCGUUGCCAACUGCGAUAAGUGGUGUGAUGCGCAAGUCUAAAACUUAUAAGUGAACCAUCGAAUUGUUGAACGCACUGCACCGAGCUCUACCCGAGCACGGUAUGUCCCAUUGAGCGCUAUUAAUGUCUUCGAGAGGGCUGAUCUUUGGUUGGCACCCGGGUUCGGAGUCCACAGUGCCCUUGCACUGCGUUCUCUCAGAUGGAUUUGAAUGGUGUCUGGUUGCACUGGAACCUCUAUGUCAUGAGAAUGCAUGGAGUGCCCGUUAAGCGCCUGAUGCCUGGGACAGCACAGAUGAUGGCUGUCCAAGCAUGCUUAAUUGAGAAUGUAGCCUCACUGGGACAAGACAACCCGCUAGACUUAAGCAUAUUAAUCAGCGGAGGAAAAGAAACUAACUAGGAUUCCCUCAGUAACUGCGAGUGAAGCGGGAUGAGCUCAAUGUGUGAAU